This 497-nucleotide ribosomal RNA is filed under the name uncultured bacterium. Its description in RNAcentral is "partial 16S ribosomal RNA". It matches the Rfam family "Bacterial small subunit ribosomal RNA", at positions 28 to 507 of the family's 1533-position model. The record is from RNAcentral.
GAUGAACGCUGGCGGCGUGCCUAAUACAUGCAAGUCGAGCGAACAGACGAGGAGCUUGCUCCUCUGACGUUAGCGGCGGACGGGAGAGUAACACGUGGAUAACCUACCUAUAAGACUGGGAUAACUUCGGGAAACCGGAGCUAAUACCGGAUAAUAUAUUGAACCGCAUGGUUCAAUAGUGAAAGACGGUUUUGCUGUCACUUAUAGAUGGAUCCGCGCCGGAUUAGCUAGUUGGUAAGGUAACGGCUUACCAAGGCAACGAUGCGUAGCCGACCUGAGAGGGUGAUCGGCCACACUGGAACUGAGACACGGUCCAGACUCCUACGGGAGGCAGCAGUAGGGAAUCUUCCGCAAUGGGCGAAAGCCUGACGGAGCAACGCCGCGUGAGUGAUGAAGGUCUUCGGAUCGUAAAACUCUGUUAUUAGGGAAGAACAAAUGUGUAAGUAACUAUGCACGUCUUGACGGUACCUAAUCAGAAAGCCACGGCUAACUACGUG